RNAcentral lists this ribosomal RNA (460 nucleotides) under uncultured bacterium. RNAcentral describes it as "partial 16S ribosomal RNA". It matches the Rfam family "Bacterial small subunit ribosomal RNA", at positions 338 to 795 of the family's 1533-position model. The record is from RNAcentral.
CCUACGGGGGGCAGCAGUGAGGAAUAUUGGUCAAUGGACGGAAGUCUGAACCAGCCAUGCCGCGUGCAGGAAUACGGCUCUAUGAGUUGUAAACUGCUUUUGUACAAGGGUAAACCUGAAUACGUGUAUUCAGCUGAAAGUACUGUACUAAUAAGGAUCGGCUAACUCCGUGCCAGCAGCCGCGGUAAUACGGAGGAUCCAAGCGUUAUCCGGGUUUAUUGGGUUGAAAGGGUGCGUAGGCGGAUUGAUAAGUUAGAGGUGAAAUGUCCGAGCUUAACUCGGGAACGGCUUAUAAUUCUGUGGAUCUAGAGAGUAGAUGCGGUAGGCGGAAUGUAUGGUGUAGCAGUGAAAUGCUUAGAGAUCAUACAGAACACCGAUUGCGAAGGCAGCUUACCAAUCUAUAUCUGACGUUGAGGCACGAAAGCGUGGGGAGCAAACAGGAUUAGAUACCCUAGUAGUC